ACAGACCUCUGGUUUACCGGUUGUGACGCCAGUUGCACUGCCGGGUAUCUAAGUCUGGAUGGGAUAAGCGCUGAAAGCAUCUAAGUGCGAAGCCCGCCACAAGAUUAGAUUUCCUCAAAAGGGUCGUCACAGACGAUGACGUAGAUAGGAUGCAGGUGUAAAGUCAGCAAUGGCAAAGCCGAGCAUUACUAAUAGCCCGAAACUUCUAGUCCU
Molecule: non-coding RNA, 213 nt
Filed under: Alloprevotella rava F0323
Lineage: Bacteria; Pseudomonadati; Bacteroidota; Bacteroidia; Bacteroidales; Prevotellaceae
Description: Prevotella sp. oral taxon 302 str. F0323 Bacterial large subunit ribosomal RNA
Rfam family: Bacterial large subunit ribosomal RNA
Source: Rfam by way of RNAcentral